Molecule: long non-coding RNA, 2351 nt
Organism: Lepidothrix coronata (blue-crowned manakin)
Lineage: Eukaryota; Metazoa; Chordata; Aves; Passeriformes; Pipridae
Exons: 3
Source: RefSeq, a predicted model, not a curated record
CCCCGCGGGGAGCGGCCGGUACCGCGCUGGGAAGCCCUGAGGCAGCCGAGGAACCUCCAGCUCUGUCCCCAGCACCUAAGGAGAUAGGCGCUAACUCCCAGCUGGGUUUUUAUCCUCCCGACUAGGGCGUGAAACGGGAAGGAAAAUAGAGUCAUGCGUUUCACCUGGCCUCUGCGGGAGAAAUACGAAGCAGCCCUCAGCAAUGGAUUAUCCAGAGGAGACUGGGAGACUUCGAUGAUCCGAGAUCACGCUUCCAGAGUGUCUCUUUGCAGCUGUGGAGCAGUUGUGCUGUAUCAUGGUCAAAGUCAACCAGCAGAGCCAUGAGCUCCCUCCUGCAGUGACCCACCACUGUGCGCAGGUGUGGGGUGAAGGAAACUGUUGGUUGAACGCACAGUGGGAAGAGCUGAGCCUGCAGGAGAGGAAGCAAUGGGUAAAGCAAAUCCACAGUAGGGGUAAUGAAAGAAGUAACCCCCACUGAUGGCAAGAAAAGCCACAACUAUUCUGACAAGAGUGUCCAGUAGUCCUCUCAGGUCUCCUGUGCUCACUGUGGCAACUGGUGAGCAGAGAUGGUAGCAGUAACUAGGAAGAUCCAGGUAGGGUAAGGAGAGAGGAGACACUGAAUGCCAGAACACCUUGCUACAGCUUGGAGAACAAGGAGGUGGGUGAUAGUAAAAUGCCAUGUCUGGAAGAGCUCCAGGUAAGGAAAGCAGUCUCAUUCACAGGGAUUAUCCCACGCAGUGAGAGGAGCCACAGUCCUAUAGCAUUCCACAUGAUCACAACAUUUGCACCAAAGGAUAUUAAACUACAUCAGGACUACUAACCUUAAUUCUGGUGCUUGCUAACUUUUGGGUGGCUUUUUGCAGUGCUAAGGAUCUUUCCCUGCGUGCUGAUUUCCAAAUAGAAAUCAGUACAUUCCACUCCAAGGGUUUGGGCCUGUGUCUGUAUAGUAAGCAGUGGAUGUGAAAUCAUAUUAUACAUGACCUAACCAAGGUCCUGAUUUUACUAUUUCUCGUACUUAAUUGGCAUAUCUAUUUGGGCAGACAGUACUGCUAAAAUAAAGGAUUGUUUCUCAGAGCAAAGAGUUGGCAGGAAUCUUCUAUAACCAGAGUAUUCUAAUUAUUAAAAACAAUUAAAGUAUUAUCAGACAGUGAAAAGAAUUCAUCAAUGACUUCAGCUGGAACAAGAACAUCAUUAAGAUAGAGUCAUAUCACAUAAGUGUCUCUUGUUAAGUUAGAGAAGAUAUAACAUUUAUACUACCUGGAAAAUAUAAUAUGAUGUAUUAUGAGUAUAUGAUGCAUUAUGAUGUAUAAUGAGGCUUUUUCAAAGAAGUAGGAGGCAAGACAAAACAAGAAUUAAUAAAAAAAUUAGGAGGCAUUGAAUCAAGGAGUGUAAAUAUUUUUAAAAAAUUAAUAAAAUUUGAAAACAUACACACAAUAUUUUAAAGAAAGCUUAUGACCUUUUAACUAUUUUGAUUUAUACUAUUUUGAACUUGCACUUUUUUCCCAGUCUGAAAGAUUAAUUAUAGUUUUUUAGGCAAAAUAUGACUUGGGGUUGUCUUGCCAAAACGUGAGUGAAGCUUAGCAACAAGUACAUAUUUGUAUAAAUAAAUGAUAUAAUUAUUUUUCUGUUGUCUUAUAAUAUCACAUUCAGGAUAUAACAGCACAGACACAAUAACCACUAGGACUUUAAACAAAAAUCACUUUAAGAAUUACCUAGCAAAACAUUUUCUCAUCAAUGGCUUUGCAUAAGUCUCAUCAAUUCUAAAAUUAUGAUUUGCUGUCACUGCAUACUUGAAGAAAUCACAACUUUUUCCCUACUGCUUUCUCUGUCUUGCAAAUUAGAUGCUCAUGACACAGGAAAAGAUGCCAGUUUUCGCACUUCAUCAGCCAAUUGGUACAGGAGCACCACUUUUGGCUCCCAGCAGAAUACUUAAGAGCUUCCCAGAAUUCAAUGUCUAGGUGCAAACUACUGCCUUAUGUAGGCUAUACUUCAGCACAGCUCCAAGACAACUUAUUUUCAGCUGGUUUAUGAUACAAACUACACCCACUAAGGAACAAUUGUGUGCCUUAAGGAUGGAGAUCGGAGUAAGCUGAGUAUACAAAAAAAAAUCCACAUUAAAAUAGACAUUGCAGGCACUUGCUGACUCAUGUGUUCAGGCAAACACAUAGACUUUUUUAUCUACCAUCUUGUCUUCCUUAGCUUGAGUGAAUUCCUUGACUGUUCUUGAAAAUCUGUCCCUAUCUGAAGUAACUGUAGACAACGCUGCAGUGUUUUUGUACAGUGGGCUGCAUCAGAUCAUCUUGAAACUGAGUACAGAAACCUGUUAAAUACACUUAUCACCACCCAAUCUU